UAUGAGAGUUUGAUCCUGGCUCAGAACGAACGCUGGCGGCAUGCCUAACACAUGCAAGUCGAACGAGAUCUUCGGAUCUAGUGGCGCACGGGUGCGUAACGCGUGGGAAUCUGCCCUUGGGUACGGAAUAACUCAGAGAAAUUUGUGCUAAUACCGUAUAAUGUCUUCGGACCAAAGAUUUAUCGCCCAAGGAUGAGCCCGCGUAGGAUUAGCUAGUUGGUGAGGUAAAAGCUCACCAAGGCGACGAUCCUUAGCUGGUCUGAGAGGAUGAUCAGCCACACUGGGACUGAGAUACGGCCCAGACUCCUACGGGAGGCAGCAGUGGGGAAUAUUGGACAAUGGGCGAAAGCCUGAUCCAGCAAUGCCGCGUGAGUGAUGAAGGCCUUAGGGUUGUAAAGCUCUUUUACCCGGGAUGAUAAUGACAGUACCGGGAGAAUAAGCUCCGGCUAACUUCGUGCCAGCAGCCGCGGUAAUACGAGGGGAGCUAGCGUUGUUCGGAAUUACUGGGCGUAAAGCGCACGUAGGCGGAUUGUUAAGUUAGGGGUGAAAUCCCAGGGCUCAACCCUGGAACUGCCUUUAAUACUGGCAAUCUAGAGUCCGAGAGAGGUGAGUGGAAUUCCGAGUGUAGAGGUGAAAUUCGUAGAUAUUCGGAGGAACACCAGUGGCGAAGGC
Molecule: ribosomal RNA, 672 nt
Filed under: Gloeochaete wittrockiana
Lineage: Eukaryota; Glaucocystophyceae; Gloeochaetales; Gloeochaetaceae
Description: partial Bacterial small subunit ribosomal RNA
Rfam family: Bacterial small subunit ribosomal RNA
Source: RNAcentral